This 253-nucleotide ribosomal RNA is filed under the name uncultured bacterium. Its description in RNAcentral is "partial 16S ribosomal RNA". It matches the Rfam family "Bacterial small subunit ribosomal RNA", at positions 524 to 776 of the family's 1533-position model. The record is from RNAcentral.
GACGAACCGUGCGAACGUUGUUCGGAAUCACUGGGCUUAAAGGGCGCGUAGGCGGGUUCGCAAGUCAGGGGUGAAAUCUUUCAGCUUAACUGGAAAACAGCCCCUGAUACUGCGAGUCUCGAGGGAGGUAGGGGCAUGUGGAACUUCCGGUGGAGCGGUGAAAUGCGUAGAUAUCGGAAGGAACGCCGGUGGCGAAAGCGACUUCCUGGACCAAUACUGACGCUCAUGUGCGAAAGCGUGGGGAGCAAACAGG